RNAcentral lists this ribosomal RNA (460 nucleotides) under uncultured bacterium. Its description in RNAcentral is "partial 16S ribosomal RNA". It matches the Rfam family "Bacterial small subunit ribosomal RNA", at positions 338 to 795 of the family's 1533-position model. The record is from RNAcentral.
CCUAGGGUGUGCUGCAGUGAGGAAUAUUGGUCAAUGGACGAGAGUCUGAACCAGCCAAGUAGCGUGAAGGAUGACUGCCCUAUGGGUUGUAAACUUCUUUUAUCUGGGAAUAAAACGUUCCACGUGUGGGAUUUUGUAUGUACCAUAUGAAUAAGGCUCGGCUAACUCCGUGCCAGCAGCCGCGGUAAUACGGAGGAUCCGAGCGUUAUCCGGAUUUUUUGGGUUUAAAGGGAUCCGCGGUGGAUUGUUAAGUCAGUUGUGAAAGUUUGCGGCUCAAACGUAAAAUUGCAGUUGAAACUGGCAGUCGUGAGUGCAGUAGAGGUGGGCGGAAUUCGUGGGGUAGCGGUGAAAUGCUUAGAUAUCACGAAGAACUCCGAUUGCGAAGGAAGUUCACUGGACUGCAACUGACACUGAGGCACGAAAGUGUGGGUAUCAAACAGGAUUAGAUACCCUUGUAGUC